UACAGAGGUCUCAAGCGUUGUUCGGAUUCAUUGGGCGUAAAGGGUGCGUAGGUGGCGCCGUAAGUCGGGUGUGAAAUUUCGGAGCUUAACUCCGAAACUGCAUUCGAUACUGCGGUGCUUGAGGACUGGAGAGGAGACUGGAAUUCAUGGUGUAGCAGUGAAAUGCGUAGAGAUCAUGAGGAAGACCAGUGGCGAAGGCGGAUCUCUGGACAGCUACUGACACUGAGGCACGAAGGCCAGGGGAGCAAACGGG
This 253-nucleotide ribosomal RNA is filed under the name uncultured bacterium. RNAcentral's name for it is "partial 16S ribosomal RNA". It matches the Rfam family "Bacterial small subunit ribosomal RNA", at positions 524 to 776 of the family's 1533-position model. The record is from RNAcentral.